This 72-nucleotide transfer RNA is filed under the name Micromonospora musae. RNAcentral describes it as "Micromonospora sp. MS1-9 tRNA-Val". It matches the Rfam family "tRNA". From Rfam's summary of the family: Transfer RNA (tRNA) molecules are approximately 80 nucleotides in length. Their secondary structure includes four short double-helical elements and three loops (D, anti-codon, and T loops). Lineage: Bacteria; Bacillati; Actinomycetota; Actinomycetes; Micromonosporales; Micromonosporaceae. The record is from RNAcentral.
GCCCGUGUAGCUCAGGGGGAGAGCGUCGCUCUUACAAAGCGAGGGUCGGGAGUUCAAAUCUUUCCGCGGGCA